Molecule: ribosomal RNA, 367 nt
Filed under: uncultured organism
Description: bacterial LSU rRNA
Rfam family: Bacterial large subunit ribosomal RNA
Source: RNAcentral
CUUUACUGUAGCCUGGAAUUGGGUUCGGGCUUUGCAUGCGCAGGAUAGGUGGGAGGCUGAGAGACAUCCCUUGUGGGGGGUGUGGAGCCAACGGUGAGAUACCACUCUUGUGAAGCUAGAAUUCUAACCCUAAGCCGUGAUCCGGCUAGGGAACCGUUUCAGGUGGGCAGUUUGACUGGGGCGGUCGCCUCCCAAAAGGUAACGGAGGCGCGCAAAGGUUCUCUCAGGCUGGCUGGAAGUCAGCCGUAGAGUGUAAAGGCAUAGGAGAGCUUGACUGUGAGACCUACAAGUCGAACAGGGACGAAGGUCGGCCUUAGUGAUCCGACGGCGCUGAGUGGAAGGGCCGUCGCUAAACGGAUAAAAGUUA